Onychomys torridus (southern grasshopper mouse) is the source of this 843-nucleotide long non-coding RNA. RefSeq lists it as uncharacterized. The record is from RefSeq and is a predicted model, not a curated record. NCBI's taxonomy places the organism in Eukaryota, Metazoa, Chordata, Mammalia, Rodentia, Cricetidae. The transcript has 3 exons.
CCGCCCAGCCCUGCUCGCGGAUAGCGGAGCGCGGCCUGGGCCCGCACGCAGCGGCGCAGACACCGGGAUCCCGCACGCCCGGCCCUCCCGACCCCCGGCCCGGGAGCGCGCAGCCCCGCGUCCACGGCCCCUGCAGCCCGGCCACGUCCUGGCGCGCGCCGGCCGCCGGGGCCCCGCUCAGCCGCGGGCCCGGAGUGCAAGAUGCUGCGCCGUCGCUCGCCCUCCUUCCCCCUGCCCCGGCUACUCACGUGCCAGAUGGCGAAGAAGAUGAGCGCGGCGGUGAGCAGCAGCGCCAGCAUAUAGCAGAAGGCCGCGAAAGUGAACGCCAUGGCCGGGGAGGAGCUGCCGGGCGCGCCGGGGCCAGCGGAGAAAGGCGGCGCACGGCCCUCUGGGUAAAACCAUUCACUUCCCCGGGCCUCAGCCUCCACCGCCACCGCGGCCACCUCCCGGCGCGCCUGCGCACAGGGUCUCCCGCGUGCGCGCCCCCUGAUGGCCGGAGUCUGCGUAGCACGUCUGUUGUCAGCACAGUUGAUCUGGUCGUUGAAUGAAUGCCCAGUUUGUUCCACAGACUGUUCUUCUGCUUGAGAGCUGGGAGACCAUCUUGGCCUUCUGGUCAGCACCAAGUCCGGUCCACACCAAGGAGACAAUCCUUCUUUGGCUCAGGAAGCUCUGAAGUCCCUCGGCCACUGCCAAGAGAGACAGGAUUGGGUGGUAACAGAAAAGAGCAAGUCUUGAACUGAUCUGAAAUCUACCUUCAUUCAACUCCAGGACUCUCAUAAAGAUCAGAUGUGAGCCUGCCGCCACACUCCACUCCAAGCCAUGAUGAUAACCGACUAACCCUCU